CAAACCAUACACCGAAGCUACGGGUAUCAUCUUAGGAUGAUGCGGUAGAGGAGCGUUCUGUAAGCCUGUGAAGGUGAGUUGAGAAGCUUGCUGGAGGUAUCAGAAGUGCGAAUGCUGACAUGAGUAACGAUAAUGGGUGUGAAAAACACCCACGCCGAAAGACCAAGGUUUCCUGCGCAACGUUAAUCGACGCAGGGUUAGUCGGUCCCUAAGGCGAGGCUGAAAAGCGUAGUCGAUGGAAAACAGGUUAAUAUUCCUGUACUUCUGGUUAUUGCGAUGGAGGGACGGAGAAGGCUAGGCCAGCUUGGCGUUGGUUGUCCAAGUUUAAGGUGGUAGGCUGGAAUCUUAGGUAAAUCCGGGAUUCUAAGGCCGAGAGCUGAUGACGAGUGUUCUUUUAGAACACGAAGUGGUUGAUGCCAUGCUUCCAAGAAAAGCUUCUAAGCUUCAGGUAACCAGGAACCGUACCCCAAACCGACACAGGUGGUUGGGUAGAGAAUACCAAGGCGCUUGAGAGAACUCGGGUGA
RNAcentral lists this ribosomal RNA (525 nucleotides) under Klebsiella pneumoniae. RNAcentral describes it as "partial 23S ribosomal RNA". It matches the Rfam family "Bacterial large subunit ribosomal RNA", at positions 1183 to 1707 of the family's 2925-position model. The record is from RNAcentral. Lineage: Bacteria; Pseudomonadati; Pseudomonadota; Gammaproteobacteria; Enterobacterales; Enterobacteriaceae.